Molecule: ribosomal RNA, 277 nt
Filed under: uncultured bacterium
Lineage: Bacteria
Description: partial 16S ribosomal RNA
Rfam family: Bacterial small subunit ribosomal RNA
Source: RNAcentral
CUUGCCGCCGGCGACCGGCGCACGGGUGAGUAACACGUAUGCAACCUGGCCGUGACAGAUGGAUAACCGGGAGAAAUCCCGCCUAAUACAACAUAAUGCCGGGAGGGGACAUCCCCUGCCGGUCAAAGGGGGCGACCCCGGUCACGGAUGGGCACGCGGCGCAUUAGGUAGUUGGUGGGGCAACGGCCCACCAAGCCGACGAUGCGUAGGGGUUCUGAGAGGAAGGUCCCCCACAUUGGAACUGAGACACGGUCCAAACUCCUACGGAAGGCAGCAG